Molecule: ribosomal RNA, 198 nt
Filed under: uncultured bacterium
Lineage: Bacteria
Description: partial 16S ribosomal RNA
Rfam family: Bacterial small subunit ribosomal RNA
Source: RNAcentral
ACUGGAGUCUGCAACCCGACUCCACCGAAGUUGGAUUCGCUAGUAAUCGCGCAUCAGCCAUGGCGCGGUGAAUACGUUCCCGGGCCUUGUACACACCGCCCGUCAAGCCAUGGGAGCCGGGGGGCGCCUGAAGUCCGGGACCGCGAGGACCGGCCUAGGGCGAAACUGGUAACUGGGGCUAAGUCGUAACAAGGUACC